Molecule: ribosomal RNA, 424 nt
Filed under: uncultured bacterium
Lineage: Bacteria
Description: bacterial SSU rRNA
Rfam family: Bacterial small subunit ribosomal RNA
Source: RNAcentral
GGGGAAUUUUGGACAAUGGGGGCAACCCUGAUCCAGCCAUGCCGCGUGAGUGAAGAAGGUCUUCGGGUUGUAAAGCUCUUUCGGACGGAAAGAAAUCGCGCAGGUAAAUAAUCUGCGUGGAUGACGGUACCGUAAGAAGAAGCAUUGGUUAACUACGUGCCAGCAGUUGCGGUAAUACGUAGGGUGCGAGCGUUAAUCGGAAUUACUGGGCGUAAAGCGUGCGCAGGCGGCUUUGUAAGACAGGUGUGAAAUCUUUGGGCUUAACUUGGGAAUGGCGCUUGUGACUGCAAGGCUCGAGUGUGGUAGAGGGGGGUGGAAUUCCACGUGUAGUAGUGAAUGCGUAGAGAUGUGGAGGAACACCGAUGGCGAAGGCAGUUUUUUGGGUCGACACUGACGCUCAUGCACGAAAGCGUGGGGAGCAAAC